UACGGAGGGUGCGAGCGUUGUCCGGAAUUAUUGGGCGUAAAGAGCUCGUAGGCGGACUGUCACGUCUGCUGUGAAAAGCUAGGGCUUAACCCUGGCCUUGCAGUGGAUACGGGCAGACUAGAGGUAGGUAGGGGAGAAUGGAAUUCCCGGUGUAGCGGUGAAAUGCGCAGAUAUCGGGAGGAACACCGGUGGCGAAGGCGGUUCUCUGGGCCUUACCUGACGCUGAGGAGCGAAAGCGUGGGGAGCGAACAGG
This 253-nucleotide ribosomal RNA is filed under the name uncultured bacterium. Its description in RNAcentral is "partial 16S ribosomal RNA". It matches the Rfam family "Bacterial small subunit ribosomal RNA", at positions 524 to 776 of the family's 1533-position model. The record is from RNAcentral.